AUGCAAGUCGAGGGACCGGCGCACGGGUGAGUAACGCGUAUCCAACCUGCCCACCACUUGGGGAUAACCUUGCGAAAGUAAGACUAAUACCCAAUGGUGAUGGAUGGGGAUGCGUCUGAUUAGCUUGUUGGCGGGGUAACGGCCCACCAAGGCGACGAUCAGUAGGGGUUCUGAGAGGAAGGUCCCCCACAUUGGAACUGAGACACGGUCCAAACUCCUACGGGAGGCAGCAGUGAGGAAUAUUGGUCAAUGGACGAGAGUCUGAGCCAGCCAAGUAGCGUGCAGGAAGACGGCCUAUGGGUUGUAAACUGCUUUUAUAAGGGAAUAUGUACCUUAUGAAUAAGGACCGGCUAAUUCCGUGCCAGCAGCCGCGGUAAUACGGAAGGUCCGGGCGUUAUCCGGAUUUAUUGGGUUUAAAGGGAGCGUAGGCCGGAGAUUAAGCGUGUUGUGAAAUGUAGACGCUCAACGUCUGCACUGCAGCGCGAACUGGUUUCCUUGAGUACGCACAAAGUGGGCGGAAUUCGUGGUGUAGCGGUGAAAUGCUU
This 545-nucleotide ribosomal RNA is filed under the name uncultured bacterium. Its description in RNAcentral is "bacterial SSU rRNA". It matches the Rfam family "Bacterial small subunit ribosomal RNA", at positions 55 to 691 of the family's 1533-position model. The record is from RNAcentral.